RNAcentral lists this transfer RNA (73 nucleotides) under Pteropus alecto (black flying fox). It matches the Rfam family "tRNA". Rfam says of the family: Transfer RNA (tRNA) molecules are approximately 80 nucleotides in length. Their secondary structure includes four short double-helical elements and three loops (D, anti-codon, and T loops). The record is from Rfam by way of RNAcentral. Lineage: Eukaryota; Metazoa; Chordata; Mammalia; Chiroptera; Pteropodidae.
GGUUCCAUAGAGUAGCGGUUAGCACGUCUCCUUUACAUGCAGAAGGACCUGGGUACGCACCCUAGUGGGGCCA